This 1217-nucleotide long non-coding RNA is filed under the name Equus caballus (horse). RNAcentral describes it as "lncRNA (ENSECAG00000046722.1)". The record is from RNAcentral. Lineage: Eukaryota; Metazoa; Chordata; Mammalia; Perissodactyla; Equidae.
AGAGAGUGUCAGAAAACGCCUAUGUCAGAAAGGCCCCUUUGCUCUCAGCCAUGCCCUCCAUUGCUCUAGAGGUGGAAGGCACAAGGCACUGGUUCUGGAUCCACCCCUCAAUGGGCGACAAACCUCAUCUUGUCCUGCUUCCAGCUCUUUAGGAAGUGGAGAAAAAACUCCCUUUCCACAGUGCUCUUACAGCGUCCUGGGAACAUCUCAUACCAAGGAGCAGGAGCAGACAAUAGGCUUUUUACAAACUGCCAUUGUGCACUGGGUCAGAGAGAGUCAGAAUGCACCUAUGUCAGAAAGGGCCCUUUGCUCGCAGCCGUGCCCUCCAUUGCUCUAGAGUUGGAAGGCACAAAGCACUGCCUCCAUCCUUUAAUGGGAGACAAGCCAUAAACUGUCUUGCCUCCACCUCUUUAGGAAGCUGACAAACAACUCGCUUGCCACAGUCCUGUUACAGCAGACCGGGAACUUCUCAUACAAAGGCAGCUCAAAUGGCAUUUCUUCCCAGCCCUUAACUCGCAGCUUUAGAACUUCUGCUUCUGCCGCAAUUCCAAGUGGCCAACCCAGCUCAGACGAAAUGCCUACAUCUUCCCCUUAAGCACCUGGGCUGAGUCACAAAGGAUUGUGCAACCAUGUGUUUAGCAGGAGAGAGACAAUAUGCUUUCCACCAACCACAGUAGACCACUGGUGGAGAGAGUGUCAGAAAACACCUAUGUCAGAAAGGCCCCUUUGCUCUCAGCCAUGCCCUCCAUUCCUCUAGAGGUGGAAGGCACAAGGCACUGGUUCUGGAUCCACCCCUCAAUGGGCGACAAACCACAUCUUGUCCUGCUUCCAGCUCUUUUUGAAGUGGAGAAAAAACUCCCUUUCCACAGUGCUCUUACAGCGUCCUGGGAACAUCUCAUACCAAGGAGGCUGAACGCCGUUUCUUUUCAGCACUUCACUCGCCAGUCUGGGACAUCUGCAUCCUGCACAUUUCCACCUUGCCAACCUGGCUCAGACGAAAUGCCUACAUCUUCCCCUUGAGCAAUGGGGAUGAGGCCCGGAUGAUUGUGGUUCCACAUGCUGAGGAGGAGAGAGACAAUAGGCUUUUUUUCUUUCUUUCUUUCUUUUUUUUUAUUUUUAUUUUUUAUUAUUUUUUUUAUUUUUUUUAUUAAUGUUAUGAUAGAUUACAAGCUUGUGAGAUUUCAGUUGUACAUUUUUAUUAGUCAUGUUGUGGGUAC